AAGUGAAGCUUCAACGACAUCCGAAAAGGAGACUGAAGCACUUACAUCUGUACGCCAAUAUUAUGCCUUUGUAAUAAAUGGGAUGGAUGCUAUGUAUAAGAAUAUCCAGACGUCAGAUUAUACAAUAUCGGUCUUAUUUGCUGGGAUAGUUAUAUCACAGACGCCAAAUGACGCCCCAUGGACUGAAAGUAUUAAGAAUACCGCUGUAUCACCAUACACAGUUGAUUCAGGAGAAUGUUUGAACAAAUUUACUGCAUGGAUUAAUACAAAUUCAUCACAUUUACCAGAAAGAGACCAUACUAUGUUAUUUACCAGGUACCACCUACCACUACAUUAUUUUAACUCUUUCA
Long non-coding RNA from Mytilus californianus (California mussel), 350 nucleotides. RefSeq lists it as uncharacterized. NCBI's taxonomy places the organism in Eukaryota, Metazoa, Mollusca, Bivalvia, Mytilida, Mytilidae. The record is from RefSeq and is a predicted model, not a curated record. The transcript is spliced from 3 exons.